Molecule: long non-coding RNA, 561 nt
Filed under: Hordeum vulgare
Lineage: Eukaryota; Viridiplantae; Streptophyta; Magnoliopsida; Poales; Poaceae
Description: long non-coding RNA (HVUL_LNC003761)
Source: RNAcentral
GACUACAUACGAAUGUAUAUAAACAUACUUUAGAGUAUAGAUUCACUCAUUUUGCAACGUAUGUACUCUGUUAUAUUUCUUUACAAACUGAAUUAGAAGUACAUCUAUAACUGGAAAAUAUCAAUGAUAAUGGAAUACUACCUACAAUAUGCUUACCACGAAAGUAGACAAAAUGCUUUCAGGAAAAAUGUCAGUGCUAGAAAUGUUAAAUUGAAAUUUGAAAUGGGAGGAGAGAUAAAUAAACCUUCCAUAAAUUCCCUCAAAAAUUCCAGUAUUAAAGAACUCUGCAGUGUUAGAAUUAAAAUUUUAGUCAGCUGCCUGAAUAUGUACAUUACACGGUCAAUUUCUAAUAGUACCAUACCUUUUUCUGAAGUGCUACUGUGAUUUUUGAGAGUACAGAUCAAUGAGAUUAGCUUAACAAGCAUCAUGGUUCAACUUAUGCAACUACCAACAUCUGUUUUAUUGAAACAAAAGGAACUUAACUCACAAUUUCAUUAGAGACUACAACAGCAGCAAGAAAGCAUCAUGGUUUAGGCUUCCCAACUAUCAAAAUGUGAUCUC